GGUAACAUUUUAAGGUACUUGACUAUCACUUUUAUAAGCUUCUCCUUGGUUCUAGCGUUCACAUAAAAUAAAGAGACAAACAUGUAUGAUUUGUAGCUCCAAAUUAAUCAACCUAAUUAAUUCAACAUGUUUAGUCCUUUAAUCUUUGUUCUUAGUACUACCUUCGUGAUCCCACACUAAUCUUAUAAGCUAAAGCAUUGCACAUUCAAUCUUUGGAAGAUAUAAACAAAACAUAAAUAUAGAUAGAUUAUCUUUCCAUUAGGUUAAGCCAUCUGAUCUAACAAAUGUUUUAAAUGCUACACUCAUGAUCCAUCAACUUUGUCCUGCUCACUAUGCUUAAGGUUAGAGAAGAACAACUACACUUUUGGUUCUGUUGGUGUUUUCUACCAACAGGGCCCAUGCUCUUGAUCUCUGCCUUGUCUCUAUGAGCAGGACACAUUUUGAGAAACGUGAAGGCGUUUUACAACUCCCAGAUUCCAUCAAGUGAAGAACCGGGAUCUACAAGCACAAACACAAUGGAGAUCAGACACUUAGUUUCCCAAAGGAAAUAUUGAAGAACCUCUGUGUUCGAGUUGGUACCUUGUACACUCCAGCAAACUUCGUGGUGAUAGAGACUGGCACUGAGGAGAGGGCACCCAUCAUCUUAGGGAGGUCAUUCCUAAACACCAGAAGUGUCAUCUACGCUAAUGCUGCCAAGAUCAGUCUCUACAUCAAGGGGAAGAAGGAGAUUUUCCAUCAAGAACAAGACUACACAAACUUCAGAGCAAUCCCGACAUGAACCAAGGAAGAGGACCAACAGGAGGAACAGGAACAAGCAAAUGUGGACCGAGUCAGCUAAGAUGGUCACUGCAGCUCAAGGAGGUCAAGAUCGUCGACUCAAGUCACCUUUCUUGAUCAAGAAGGACGACCCUGGUGUUCCAAGAAUCGAAUGCAGAAACAAUGGAUACUCUUUUUAGAAGACACUCUACGACACCGGAUCUGACGACAACAAAAUGGCCGCAGUCACUUAUCAGCUCCUGCAUGGAACCAUGCCCCUACAACCAAGAUACAUUCAGCUUCAAACAAUUUUCAGGUCAUUGACAUGGGAGAAGACAAGUAUGAUCCAUCCACCAUCCUUGGAAGACCAUUCCUAAACACUAUCAAAGCCAUUAUCUAUAUUGGAACCGGAGAAGUCCACAUGCACUUCCCCUCUGAGAAAGGUACGCCACUACUUUAAUGAUUAUAUAGUUGAAGAUUCUAAGCAGGUUAGGACAAGAAGAAGACAACGCAACCGCAACCAGAGGAGGCAAAUCAUCAAGGACGGACGGGUAGACUACGAAGGAGAAGUGAUAAGGACUGAAGACAUACAACUUGAACAGAACUGUCCUGAGGAGACCGUAGCACUGAGUCAGGUGUGGAAAGAGAAGAUAGUUAUACAUGAAGAGGAGGCGCCGCCGGAACCACCGACUACGCCACCCAGCAAAUCCCAGGACGAGUAAGAAAACGGAGAGUCCCGUUCGGAGGACUUAAGAAUACCGAACGCCUUGCCAAGAGGUAAACUUGGUUGGUAGUUAUCCUUUUCCAUUCAAUAGUUUGCUUAGUUAAUCAGGUUCAUGCUAUCUUAAAAAGAAAAUAAAAAUGUUAAAAAACAGUAAGCCCCAUGUGAGUAUACGAGUGGCAUAAAACCCAUAAGUACAUUCACUGUGGUGGCGUAAAAAUAAAAUAAAUAUAUUCUUGUCCUAUAAAUAAAAAAUAUAUAUAUAAAUUUACGAUCCUACUAAAGAGAGUAACACUUAACCAGUUCCACAAAGCUUUGUCGUCUAUUUGAGCUCAACAGAAUUCAAGGAUCAAAGAAGACUAGCAGACGGAGGACAUCCUAAUCGCUGUCAGGGUGCUACCGACUUUCAAAUACACCUCCACCACCUGCUAACUACAUCAGAAGAAAUUACGUCAAAAUCCAGCUUGGGGGAGAGCACCCCCAUUUAUCUCGCUAAGUAUUUCUACCUAUCUUUAUACUUAUAUUAUGUUAGAAUAUUAAAAUACAUAAACUAUGAAAAAUCCAAAUAAAAAUUUUGUGCUUUUAUAUAUACCUUUGCUUAGUUUGCUAAAUAAAUAAAUAGAAUUUGCUAUGAACCCUCAUGAUAAGCUCUCUCAUGGAAAUCAUGAAUAGUUGCUCUGCCUAAUUUGCAAAUUUGAAGUUCUCUCUCAAGUUUAGAUGUAACUGUUAUAAUUUAAGGCUUGCUCUAGACCUAAACUUGUGGGAUAAAAACUUGAUCUGAAGUCUAAGUUGUUAACGGAUACGAUAUGGGAAGGUUGAGUUGCUGUUUAUCUGUUCCUAGAGAUGCUAGAAUUCUGGAGAAUUUUAUCUUUGAAAAUCUUUAAAAUAUUGCAUGAUGAGUUCCUGUAUGAUGAGAGUUUAAAUUCCUACCACAGCCAUAUAUAUAUGCUUGCUAGACUUUGAGCCACACAUUUACUAUUUACUGCUUAUGAGCAUUGAGUGUAGUCAAGCUGUGUAGACCCUUAGGAACUUGUCAUGUGGUUAAAUCAAGAUUUCACUUGCACGUUCACUCAUAUAUGCUACUUCUACUCCGGAAGUACCAUCCACAUAUAUUCACCCAUUCUAUCUCCAGAAUCACCCAAAAAUAUUCUACUCCUAAUCCGGGAGAGAAUAAACAAAAAUAUUUCUGUUUCUCUUUGUGAAAUAAAUGCUCAAGUUAUCUUGUUACUACCACUUGCUAUAUUAUCUCAAGAGAUGAAUGCUCUAAAAAAAAUUUAAAAAAAAGAGAGAAAAACAAAAUAAAAGAUACGAGGAAAUAAAAAGGAGCAAGUGCUCGGAACCUCGAAAGAAAAGAAAAAAGAAGAGCAUCUCAUUCUCCUCAUAAAGUUUCAAAAGCAAGGAAGGUAUGUAUCCCCUCAAAGAGCAAAGUAGAAUUAGACUUCCACCACCAUUGUUAUCACCAUCAUCACCAUACACCAUUCAUUCGCCACACAUGCACAUCUUGAUUUGGCUUAUUGAUUUGUUUCUUUGGAUCCAUGGUUUGACUAUGCAAUAAAUGUCUUGUAAGUAUGUAUAUUUUAUCUCCCACCUAUGAGCUCCAGAUAUUAAAGCCUUAUUAGAGUAGGGUGAGAGAGAAGACAAUGUCACUAUGCUUCAUACCACAAAUACUACAUAUCUUGAGAGAAGGCAUAUACCAUCACUGCCUUGGUAAGGAUCCAAAAAUACCACAAAAGAGAGACUUGAGAGAAUCAUACAAGGAAUUUCUGAGUUUUAUUUGAAAAUCUCCAAAAACCCCAGAGCUAUAGCUGAUCAAGAAUAAGAGACAUGGCACUUGGCUAGACUGUUCUAUCUUUUAACCACUCAAGACAGAAGUGACGGUUACAUGUCCUAUGGUGUAGGUAAAGUAAGUAAGUUUUAAGUUUUAAUAGUUUAUUCUAACUUAGAGAUAAGAUCUUGCUUAAAUGCGUGUGUACUUCUAAGAAAUGAAACCACUGCAGAAACACUUGAGCUCAUCCUUGCUCAGGGACGAGCAAGAGGUAAGCUUGGGGGAGUUUGUUGACGGUCCUUAAGUAUCAAUUUUAAUUAUCAAAUAAAUAAAGAAAAGGAUCCAAAUGAAAUCAACAUCUAGACUUAGGGUUUUAUCUGACAGAAUUCCACGAGUUUUGGUGUUUGUCUAUUUCUGCAGGGGGUUAUCAGGAAAUAAGGAAGAAAGGCCCACAUGUCGGGAUUACAUAGAGAUAUCAACCCACCGCGCAAUUUUCUACCAUCUAGAAGACUCCAGAAGCCACGGGAAGGAAGCGGAGCCCGAAAGGGGCCAGGCCCAGGGCGCCCGCCCUGAGGACCUAGGUGCCCGCCCCCCUCUGGACUCCGUUCCGGACUCUCUUCGCACACGACGUUCCACCGACCUAUUGGAUCCAGAAUAACAUAGUACCACCUCGCCUAUCGACCCAAAAACGCAUAGAAGGGGAGGACUAUAUAAGGAGACCCCCUCUGGCCCCUUGAGGAGACAAGAAAUUAUCAUUGAGAUUGAGGGGUGCCCUAGAAGGAAAACCUCUUCUCUAAAUAAUAUUUCUUUUUAGGCUUAGCAACCAAUGUAAAGUAGAAAUAGAUCUUCUAGUUUCUACUAGAUUGAGAGAGAUAGAGUGGAGGUGUGAAUCGGAGGAAGGCCGGUCUGUCGGUGUCUACUCUGAGUUGUACCUACGGGAUCAAGUCUCCUAACCCGAGGCUUGCUUCUAAGAUUCUUCAGUAAUUCGACUUCUAAUACUAGUAAGUUCUUGUUUUAUUGUUCUUUGGUUUAUGAGUUUACUUUAAUCCUCUUCCGGUUGAGUAUUAGAGUAAUCACUUGUUAGCGUAAACGUGGUGUUUAGGCUAGGGUACUCAUAGAUAUCCCUUGACUAGCUGGACCGUGGUAGUAGCGAGGAACGUGACAUUUCCGAGUUACCUUUGUAGAUCACAUCUCGUUAGCAGGACGGGUAGGUUUGUAGGUGCGGGUCGAACAUCCUUUGUGUUGUCUAGAUUCUGUGAGCCUCCCCAAUAGAACAGUAGAUCAUCCAUACCAAGGUUAGAACGAGACUAAGGUUGCAGUCUUCUCUAUACAUCACUC
This 4580-nucleotide long non-coding RNA is filed under the name Sorghum bicolor (sorghum). Its description in RNAcentral is "long non-coding RNA (SBIC_LNC005116)". The record is from RNAcentral. Lineage: Eukaryota; Viridiplantae; Streptophyta; Magnoliopsida; Poales; Poaceae.